AUGAAGUGUGUAUCUUCAGUACGUUUCUCAGUUCGAGUCAAUGGGGAGCUUCUACCCUUUUUUACACCCUCGCGUGAACUGAGACAAGGUGACCCUGCGUCGUCGUUCCUCUUUCUACUCUGCGCGGAGGGCCUCUCUUCUUUGCUGAAGUAUUACAAUGUUGGGCACAUUGACAGAGGCAUAAGAGUCAGCUAUAGAUCACCUUGGGUCACACAUUUGUUGUUUGCGGAUGACAGCCUGAUCUUCAUUAGUACAAACACCCAGAGUGCCGAGAGACUUAAUGAAAUUCUGAGAAUUUAUGAUGAAUCAUCGGGACAGUGUGUUAAUCGUGCCAAAAGCUCCAUUUACUUCAGUUCUAACACACCGGCCCAGCUUAAGCAGCAGCUGAAGGCCGUCCUCGCCAUUGAUGUUGAGGCUUUCAGCGAGUGUUACCUGGGGCUGCCCACAGUGGUCGGACGCAUCACUAGCGGGACAUUCGAUCACAUUGGGGAGAGAGCUCGCGGGAAGAUAUCAGAGUUUUGGAUUUCGGCCGGAAUUUCUUAUUCUCGUCCGAAAUUCGCCCAUGCCGUUGAGGCCCGGUAUAAAUACAAGCCGGCCAAAAUUUUCGGCCCAGCCCAUAGUGCAGCGUACGCUCGCAGAGGGCCGUCGAUGCACGGCGGCGGCGGCGGCCGCCUACCGGCGACACAAGCCAUGGCCCCCGCCUCCUCCCACCCUUCUCCACUGGCAGUCCACAUCCUCCUCCUCAUUUUCCUACUUCCAUUCCACUUUUCCCAUGGAGCACAGAGAUUGGGUCAACGGCGGAUCUACGCGCUGACACUAGAGAACCAGAUGUAG
This 834-nucleotide ribosomal RNA is filed under the name Triticum aestivum (bread wheat). Its description in RNAcentral is "partial small subunit ribosomal RNA". Lineage: Eukaryota; Viridiplantae; Streptophyta; Magnoliopsida; Poales; Poaceae. The record is from RNAcentral.